GAAAACAUAUAGACCCGUCUUCAAUUUGAUCGAUUAUUAACAUUUAAAAAUACCUAAAGUUGUAUUACAAAAGUAGUUUGAAAUUUUUAGGCAAAGUUUUACAGGCAACUUUUGAAAUAUUUUGCAGUGACUUUGUCCAAUUUGGAAGCUGUUUUUUUCUGGAUCAAACACACCAAAUAAAUUGACAUUUUAGAUAUAUAUGGACGGAAUUAAUCGAAGAAAAGGACAAAUUGUGAUGUUUAUGGGACAUAUUGGAGUGCCAACAAAAGAAGCUGGUCAAAGGAACUUGAACACAUGCAAUGUAAAUUCUGCAAAUUUGUCCACUUCAAUCAAGAGGUCCUUCUGAAACACUGUCAAAUAGGAGGAGCAAACUGGCCCCGUCUUUACUCUGAUUGUGUCUGUACCUUUAACUACGGGAUUGGUGUCCCUAAACCGGGACGGUUGUUGCUAUGGUGGGCUGAUGUGACUACAAUGACAUCUGUGUUGAAAUUAAGUGCAUCACCAACGUGAAACUGCUGGAGACAUUCAGAGCAUCUUUAAACCAGCACUCGCCUCAAACUGUACCGAGCCAGAAGGGGAGCUCUUGGACAGGAGAUCCAAGAUGUUGUAUAUUAACACCUGACUGCCCUUGCUUAGAGCCUAGUCUAACCUUGCCAUUUUAGAACACAGGUAUAUCAUAUCCUGGUGAAAGCCAGACACAACUCUAUUUAUAGGACAGGAAAAUCUUCCGGGCAUGAUUUUCAACCCCAAAAAUUACUGAUCCAUUUCACUUCCCUCUCAGAAUUGACACUAGCUGUGGUUUGUUCUGGACUCAGUCUGCCAAUUUAAAUGUGCGGGUGGUGUAUGGUAGGUCUAGGGAGUACCUCAAAAUGCUUAAUCUUUCAGCAACGUAUCACGUUUUAGCAAUAUCUGCAUUUAAGGUAUCAUAAAUGCCACAAAUUACUCACAAAUAAAUCAUAUUGUUUUCUUUUGCGUAUUGUUUUUCCGACCUCAAACAUUGUGGCACAGAGGAAGAUAAUAGUCCUGGAAGGCCUCCCCUUGUUUGUUCGCGAAAAUCCAGCAAAGCUACUGAAGACAUGCGUGGACACUGCUCCAGAGAAGAGCCAGACCAGAGGCGUCGAAGCUGGCAUCCUCACGGUUAUUGUGCUGGAAGAGGCUGUUGUCUUAAAAAUAUCUUCCAGACCUGCCAUCUGCAUUUGUUUACCUGUUUGGCCUCAAC
This is a long non-coding RNA of Oncorhynchus masou masou (cherry salmon), 1219 nucleotides long. RefSeq lists it as uncharacterized. The record is from RefSeq and is a predicted model, not a curated record. The transcript is spliced from 4 exons. Lineage: Eukaryota; Metazoa; Chordata; Actinopteri; Salmoniformes; Salmonidae.